This 449-nucleotide ribosomal RNA is filed under the name uncultured bacterium. Its description in RNAcentral is "partial 16S ribosomal RNA". It matches the Rfam family "Bacterial small subunit ribosomal RNA", at positions 28 to 523 of the family's 1533-position model. The record is from RNAcentral.
GAUGAACGCUGGCGGCAGGCCUAACACAUGCAAGUCGAACGAAGUCAUCGGACCUAGUGGCGGACGGGUGAGUAACACGUGGGAACGCAUCUUUUGGUUCGGAACAACUCAGGGCAACUUGAGCUAUUACCGGAUGUGCCCUUAGGGGGAAAGAUUGUUCCCCGAAAGGGCGGCCCGCGUUGGAUUAGCCAGUUGGUGAGGUAAAGGCUUACCAAGGCUACGAUCUAUAGCUGGGUUGAGGGGAUGAUCAGCCACACCGGGACGGAGAUACGGCCCAGACUCCUACGGGAGGGCGCAGUGGGACAUCGUGCGGAAUGCGCGAAAGCCUGACGCAGCCACGCCGCGUGAAUGAUGAAGGUAUUAGGAUUGUAAAAUUCUUUUACCAGGGACGAUAAUGACGGUACCUGGAGAAAAAGCCCCGGCUAACUUCGUGCCAGCCGCCGCGGUAA